AGUUGGGGGUCCGGUCGGCCACGCCACCUACGCCGGGACGGCUGCCUCCGCGGCGCGACGCUCCCACGGACUUAGCUGGGAUGCAGAAUAGAAGCUGGGCCUUUGUCUGACUACCCUGCAACAGUCAGCCACAGACGGGAAGGCAGCGCAGGAAACUGAGGCCAAAGGAGCCGCGCUUCCUCAUGAGCAUGAAGCGGCAAAGCCUGAACUAGAAGCUUCUAACGCCUAACCGUCCUCUUGCCGCACCAGGACCUACCUCUGCAAGGCCCUUCCUGACUUUUUCCUUAGAAUGUGUGUAUAUGUGUCUUUUUCCUUUUCUGAUGCUAAGACACCUCAGAAACACCAAUGUUAAGCAGAUUUCCAUCGUUGGAGGUUAAAACACCCGAAUACAAGUGUUUUCUUGAGUGUGGCAUCUGGUCAGAUGUUUUAUGGGUUGGUUUGUUUUUAAAAAAAAAAAAUUUCCUGUUAGAUGGGUGGUAAGAACCAGUCAGAGUUUGUAAACCCACCAAGCACGAGGCGGUCGGACCGUCCAGAUUCUGGAGUCCAGAAGACACCAAACGUUCUCAGAAUGCCGAACGCGGGCGCCACCUGGUGGGACUAGAACGCUUAUUGUCCCAAAUCAGCAUAGCACACAGUUCCCAUAAAUCUUAAAAAUUCCCAUCCAAGGCUCAUUUCCGUGUGACUAAAAGUCAUAUUCUCUGUUCUCGUGACUCCAAGUAAAAAUGUCCCUAAAGAGCCAAAGUAUCUUCACUGUAUAAACUAAUAAUCUAUUGGUUUGGGGAAUUUUAUUUUUUGUGAUCAAUGUUACUUUAGCCUUUCUAUGAUAUACAUAUAAAUAAAAAAGUUUUCUUCCAUGA
This 857-nucleotide long non-coding RNA is filed under the name Homo sapiens (human). RNAcentral's name for it is "DYRK3 antisense RNA 1, transcript variant 2 (DYRK3-AS1)". Lineage: Eukaryota; Metazoa; Chordata; Mammalia; Primates; Hominidae. The record is from RNAcentral.